CUCAGCAAAACGGAACUGCCAAGCACUGGUAUCAGGGACUUGGGAUGGCCUGAACCAUCGCAGCCCUGAGUCAUAUGACACAGCAGUUUUCUUCAGCCCUGCCCGUGAGGUAGGAGACUGUCAGGUUGGUUCAGCUCCAACCAUCUCAGCUCCUUCAUGAUUGUUUCGUCAUCAUCACCAUCGUCACUGUCAUCAUCAUCAUCAUCACCACCAGUGAUUUCCUGAAUGCCAACCAAGCACCAGUCAUCAAGCGUGAGCCACGGUGCAAAGAUGGAGGCAGGCUCUCCAUUCUAAGGGAACCUCUCAGGCCAGUAGGGAAGGCAAGAUUCAGACACCAGGGACAGGCAGCCUGGGAUGACAGGUGGAACAAGGAGGAGACACAAGAACCCCCACCCCAACCCAGGAACCCACAUCACAGGCCAGACCUGCAUGAUCGCCAGGCACCCGACUCGGGUUAUGAAGGUGUCUCUCCUAAGAGAGUGGCAGAGGCAAACUUUAGCCUUGGCAGUGCGCCUCAAGCUGCUCAGGGGAGAAGUCACGGCCAAAGCCCUGGAGUGCAUGGGUUCUUUAGCCAUGGUUCUCCUGCAGCUUCCUCUGAUAUUAUGAAGCGCCUGCCGCCACCAGGCUUGUUCUGACUCCCUUCCAUGAUCCACCCUUCUGAGUGGGGUUUGGCUUCUGUACAGCUCUCCUGUGGGCACUGAGCCCACUAGUCAGAGCAAGAGGGCUCCAGUCUCUGGACAGUCACAGUGCUUGGUGGCAAAACAUAAAUUGUCAUUCAUUCAUGCCUUGUUUCUGUCAUUCACUCAUUCAUUCAGCAGAUACUUAACUGAACACCUGCUCUGGGCCAGGUAUUAUUCACACCACUGGGAAUACAGUGGUGCCAACACAGGUCCCUCCCUGACUUCAUGGGGCUAACAUUCCAGUGGGAGUGACAGAAAAGAUCCACAAAAUAACAUCACAUUGUGAAAAGUGCUAUGAAAGUGAAGGACGUAAGCACAGUAAUAUUAGUAAUAGAGUAGAGAGUGAGGAGGUGGUGAGCAAAGGCCUCAUAGAGGGAGUAACAUUUUUUCUUUAAUUUGAUGUAUACUUUACAUAUAGUAAAGUGCACAAAUCUUUUCUUUUUUUUUUUCUUUUUUUUUUUUUUUUUUUUUUGAGACAGAGUCUUGCUCUGUCGCCCAGGCUGGAGUGCAAUGGUAUGAUCUCGGUUCACUGUAACCUCCGCCUCCUGGGUUCAAGUGACUCUCCUGCCUCAGCCUCCCGAGUAGCUGAGACAAGAGGCUUGUGCCACCAUACCCGGCUAACUUUUGUAUUUUUAGUAGAGACGGGGUUUCACUAUGUUGGCCAGGCUGGUCUCGAACUCCUGACCUUGUGAUCCGCCCUCAUCAGCCUCCCAAAGUGUUGGGAUUACAGGCGUGAACCACUGCACCUGGCCAUGCACAAAUCUUUAAUGUACAACUUGGUGAGUUUUUCAAUUUGCGUAUGUCAGACUCUCAACCUCUGUACUGCAGACAUUGGGGCCAUUUGUCCUGGGGACUGUCUUUCUUGUUUGUCUUUUUUUUUUUUUUUUUUUUUUGAGAUGGAGUAUUGCUUUAUCGCCCAGGCUGGAGUGCCCUGGCAUGAUCUCGGCUCACUGCAACCUCCGCCUCUUAGGUUCAAGCAGUUCUCCUGCCUCAGCCUCCUGAGUAGCUGGGAUUACAGGCACACACCACCAUACCUGGCUGAUUUUUGUAUCUUUAGUAGAGACAGGGUUUCACUGUAUUGGUCAGGCUGGUCUCAAACUCCUGACCUCGUGAUCUGCCCACCUCAGCCUCCCAAAGUACUGGGAUUACAGGCGUGAGCCAUCGCGCUCGGCCCCGUCUUGUGUAUUAUAGGAUGUUUAGCAGCAUACCUGGCCUCUACCCACUAAAUGUCAGUAACAUUCCUCCCCACACAGUUGUGACCAUCAAAAAUGUCCCCAGACAUUGCCAUAUAUCUUCUGGGAGGCGAAAUCGCCACUGUUGAAAGCCACUGGCAUAUGCCAUGUAGCCAGCACUCAGCUCAAGAUACAGGUUAUUUCCACAUGGAGGGGUUGGCGUUUGAGCUGACACCCAACAGCUAAGAAGCUGCCUCCAAUUCAGAGAACUGGGGAAGGAAUGUUCCAAGGGGAGAGAGCAUAGGCAAAGGCCCUGAGGUGGGAAUGAGCGUGGCACAUUUGAGGAAGUGUGGCUGGUCCGUGGUGACAAGGGAAAGGCAUCUGAGGAGGUUGAAGAGACAGGCUGGGCCCUAUUGAGCAGGGGCUUUGUGGGAUACGGUUAGGAGUCUGACAUUUCAAAGAACGUUUGUGAGUAUGUAAUAUGUACCUGGCACUAUGCCAGACACUGGAGAGUUGAAGAUGAAUAAAUUAAAUCCUUGGCCCUA
This is a long non-coding RNA of Homo sapiens (human), 2397 nucleotides long. RefSeq lists it as uncharacterized. The record is from RefSeq and is a predicted model, not a curated record. The transcript has 2 exons. Lineage: Eukaryota; Metazoa; Chordata; Mammalia; Primates; Hominidae.